UACGUAGGGGGCGAGCGUUGUCCGGAUUCAUUGGGCGUAAAGCGCACGUAGGCGGCCCCGCAAGUCGGCCGUGAAAUCUCCGGGCUCAACUCGGAGGGGUCGGGCGAGACUGCGGAGCUCGAGGUGGGCAGAGGGCAGUGGAAUUCCGGGUGUAGUGGUGGAAUGCGUAGAGAUCCGGAGGAACACCAGUGGCGAAGGCGGCUGCCUGGGCCUGGCCUGACGCUGAGGCGCGAAAGCGUGGGGAGCGAUCCGG
Molecule: ribosomal RNA, 253 nt
Filed under: uncultured bacterium
Lineage: Bacteria
Description: partial 16S ribosomal RNA
Rfam family: Bacterial small subunit ribosomal RNA
Source: RNAcentral